RNAcentral lists this ribosomal RNA (519 nucleotides) under Alloscardovia omnicolens. RNAcentral's name for it is "bacterial SSU rRNA". It matches the Rfam family "Bacterial small subunit ribosomal RNA", at positions 158 to 690 of the family's 1533-position model. Lineage: Bacteria; Bacillati; Actinomycetota; Actinomycetes; Bifidobacteriales; Bifidobacteriaceae. The record is from RNAcentral.
GGGUGGUAAUGCCGAAUGUUCCACAUGCUCGCAUGGGUGUGUGGGAAAACGUUUUAGUGCUAUGCGAUGGGAUCGCGUCCUAUCAGCUUGUUGGUGGGGUAGUGGCCUACCAAGGCUUCGACGGGUAGCCGGCCUGAGAGGGCGACCGGCCACAUUGGGACUGAGAUACGGCCCAGACUCCUACGGGAGGCAGCAGUGGGGAAUAUUGCACAAUGGGGGGAACCCUGAUGCAGCGACGCCGCGUGCGGGAUGACGGCCUUCGGGUUGUAAACCGCUUUUAUUGGGGAGCAAGCGUGAGUGAGUGUACCUUUUGAAUAAGCACCGGCUAACUACGUGCCAGCAGCCGCGGUAAUACGUAGGGUGCAAGCGUUGUCCGGAAUUAUUGGGCGUAAAGAGCUCGUAGGCGGUUUGUCGCGUCUGGUGUGAAAGUCCAUCGCUUAACGGUGGAUUGGCGCUGGGUACGGGCAGGCUAGAGUGUAGUAGGGGAGACUGGAAUUCUCGGUGUAACGGUGGAAUGUG